RNAcentral lists this ribosomal RNA (371 nucleotides) under uncultured bacterium. RNAcentral's name for it is "bacterial SSU rRNA". It matches the Rfam family "Bacterial small subunit ribosomal RNA", at positions 527 to 896 of the family's 1533-position model. The record is from RNAcentral.
AGAGSSUGCGAGCGUUGUCCGGAAUCACUGGGCGUAAAGGGCGCGUAGGCGGCUUGAUAAGCGUGCGGUGAAAGCCCGGGGCUCAACCCCGGGUCGGCCGUGCGAACUGUCGAGCUGGAGCACUGUAGAGGCAGGUGGAAUUCCGGGUGUAGCGGUGGAAUGCGUAGAGAUCCGGAAGAACACCGGUGGCGAAGGCGGCCUGCUGGGCAGUGGCUGACGCUGAGGCGCGACAGCGUGGGGAGCAAACAGGAUUAGAUACCCUGGUAGUCCACGCCGUAAACGAUGGGCACUAGGUGCUUGGGGGAGCGACCCUCCGAGUGCCGGCGCUAACGCAUUAAGUGCCCCGCCUGGGGAGUACGGCCGCAAGGCUG